AUUGAACGCUGGCGGCAGGCCUAACUCAUGCAAGUCGAGCGGAUGAAGGGUGCUUGCUCCUGGAUUCAUCGGCGGACGGUUGUGUCAUUCCUUUUAAUCUGCCUGGUAUUGGGGGAUAACGUCCGGAAACGGGCGCUAAUACCGCAUACGUCCUGUGGGCGAAAGUGGUUUUUCUUCGUACCUCUCGCUAUCAGUUGUUCCUAGUUCGGAUUAGCUAGUUGGUGGGGUAAAGGCCUACCAAGGCGACGAUCCGUAACUGGUCUGAGAGGAUGAUCAGUCAAACUGGAACUGAGACACGGUACAGAAGCAUACGGGAGGAAGGAGUGGGGAAUAUGGGACAAUGGGCGAAAGAGUGAUAAAGAAAAGCCGCGGGUGUGAAGAAGGAAUAAGGAUUGUAAAGAAAUGUAAGUUGGGAGGAAGGGAAGUAAGUUAAGAACUUGAUGUAAUGACGUUAACAACAGAAUAAGCAACGGCUAACUUAGUG
This 484-nucleotide ribosomal RNA is filed under the name uncultured bacterium. RNAcentral describes it as "partial 16S ribosomal RNA". It matches the Rfam family "Bacterial small subunit ribosomal RNA", at positions 30 to 507 of the family's 1533-position model. The record is from RNAcentral.